RNA transcript from Mobula hypostoma (lesser devil ray), 5563 nucleotides. It is a transcript of the gene named RNA binding motif protein X-linked, with no coding region annotated. NCBI's taxonomy places the organism in Eukaryota, Metazoa, Chordata, Chondrichthyes, Myliobatiformes, Myliobatidae. The record is from RefSeq and is a predicted model, not a curated record. The transcript is spliced from 10 exons.
GCCUCACUCUAGUGGCGCAGCGCGUCUAUAAAAGCGGUUCUGCUUCUCGGCGCCCAUUUGCUUUUGUGUCGUAGGAGGAGUUGGUUUGUUAGUGCUUCUGUGAUUGCUUUGAAGUGACAAAAUCGUCGUUAAAGGCAGCUACCAAGAUGGUGGAAGCAGACCGUCCUGGAAAACUCUUCGUCGGUGGCCUUAACACUGAAACAAAUGAAAAGGCACUUGAAGCAGUGUUUGGCAAAUAUGGAAGAAUAGUUGAAGUUCUUCUAAUGAAGGAUCGUGAAACAAACAAAUCAAGGGGUUUUGCUUUUAUUACUUUCGAAAGUCCAGGAGAUGCAAGGGAUGCAGCCAGGGAUAUGAAUGGAAAGUCUUUGGAUGGAAAACCCAUUAAAGUAGAACAGGCUACUAAACCAGCAUUUGAAAAUAGUGGACGACGUGGACCACCCCCACCCCCAAGAAGUCGUGGUCCUCCUAGGGGAAUUCGAGGUGGAAGAGGAGGUAGUGGAGGAAUGAGAGGUCCACCUCAAAAAGUGACUUCCAGAGGGCCACCAUUGAAACGGGGUCCCCCUGGCCGUGCCAAUGGACCCCCACCGAAAAGGCUUCCUCCUUCAGGUCCAAUGCGAACUGGAGGGAUGGGAGGAAGAGGAAGUGGAUCAAGAGGGCCUCCCUCACGUGAAAGGGACAGUUAUGGUUCACCUCCAUCCCGCAGAGAGAUGAUGCCAUCCAGAAGAGAUGAUUAUAUUCCCAGAGAAGAUUACUACUACAGAGACAAUUACUCUAACAGAGAUUACCCAAGCUCUAGAGAUGCAAGAGAUUAUGGUCCACCACCAAGGGAUUCGUAUAGUUCCCGUGAAUAUUCCCAUUCAGGUGGCCGUGAUGAUUAUGGAUCGCGAGGCUAUAGUGAUCGUGAUGGAUAUGGUGGACGUGAGGCACGUGACUAUUAUAAUGAUCGUCCAAGUGGUGGCUCCUAUAGAGACUCUUAUGAUGGCUAUGGAUGAGGAUAUAGAAAAUGGUUCUUGAACAUUUUUGAUGAGGAACUGUCCAGCUGUUGGGUGAUGAUAUCCUGAGUUGAAUCAAAUGGAAGAUCAUUUAUCCAGAUCAGAAGAAAUCUGGAUUUAAGUGAAAUGACCGUUGAAAGUACAUAGCGGAGCAGCAUAAAGGGUGGAAUGGUGAAGAGAGCUUGAACUGCAUUUGACCUUCUGAUGAGCUGGAACGCUGUUUCCUUAUAGUACUACCGAGAACAAAAAAAGGCACUUUUUUUCACACAAAAAAAGGAUCUGUACCCCACCAUGUUUUUGAAGUGCAUUCAGGUGUUACUAUGUUGUACUGUAGAUAUUAAAAGCAGUUUGGUUUUCUACAUUUCUUCCAUUGUUAACUUGUCCUUUCCAGUUGUCUUUAGCAUUUUGGCGAUUACUGUGACGCUUUCAUUCCUCAUGCCUAUAGUAACUGUCAAUAAUUGCCCUCUUUGGGCUGUUAAUUCAUCUGCAGUUAGAAUUAAUCUGAUACACACUUGUUUCCAUGGGGAAAGUAGUCUGUAAGGUGUAAUACUGAAGAAUGAGAUGAGCUAAUCUUUACUACUGUGGUCUUUGCUUUCCCAUGUCACAGGGUUUGAGUCUAAUUUUUUUGAGAUGUUGUUAGAAUAUCACUGGCAUAUGUUGUAGUUUUGUGUGGGCACGUGGCCAAGUGGUUAAGGCAUUGGACUAGCGACCAGAAGGUCGUGAGUUUGAGCCCCAGCCAAGGAAACAUGUUGUGUCCUUGAGCAAGGCACUUAAUCACACAUUGCUCUGCAAUGACACUGGUGCCAAGCUGUAUGGGUCCUAAUGCCCUUUUUGGACAACGCUGGUGUCGUGUCAUGGGCAGCUGCUGGUCUUCCAUACAACCUUGCCCAGGCGUGCGCCCUGGAGAGUGAAGACUUUCCAGGCGCAGAUCCAUGGUCUCACAAGUUAACGGAUGCCUUUAUUUAUUUGUCUUGUGGCAGCUGUAUGUUCUAAUAGAAAAUAGUAAAACAAUAAGUUACAUUAGAUAUAUAAAAAAGAAAUGCAAAAUGAGAGGAAUGUUCUCCACGGUACUUCUGCAGAAAUUUGAGAGUCUUUGAUGACUUGCCAAGUUUCCUUAAACGCAAUUUAGCCACUACCAUGGCUUCUUUGUAAUUGAAUCAAUAUAUUGGACCCAGGGUAGAUCUUAAAGAUGUUGACACCCAGGAUCAUUCCAUACUAAAACUUUCUUGAUAUUAUUCUUUAGUUGUCCAUAUCAAGAGCUUUGGAUACCAAAAGUGUGGGACAGAUGAGAGUAGAGGAAUAGUUUUUCAUGAAUGGGUUGUGGAUGAUGCUAGCAAGUUAUUUGGGCUGGUGGGUUCUUUCUGGUGAGCUGAUGACACAACAUUUCACUACUUCCAUUUCUGCUUUUAGGUCCUGUGACUCUUAAUUAUUUUUGUAACCUGCUAUUAAUCUAGGUUCUGUUACUCAUCCAGAAAAGUCACCAUUUGUUGCUUAUCCCUGGUUAUCCAGAAGGGCAAGUGUUUGACAAUUAAUUUGGAUCAUAAGACAUUUAGAGCAGAAUUAGGCUAUUCAGCCCAUUGAGUAUGCACUGCCAUUCCAUCAUGACUGACCAAGGAACCCACUCAACCCCGUACAUAUGCCUCCUUGAAAUAUCCUUUGAUGCCCUGACCGAUCAGGAAACUAUCAGCUUCCACCUUAAAUGUACCCGCAGACUUGGCCUCCAUGAUAGUCUGUGGCAGAGCAUCCCACAGAUUAAGAGAAAAUGUGCUUGCCUCUUUCUAAAGGGUCACCCUCAAUUCUGAGGCUGUACCCUCUAGUUCUGGAUACCACCAACAUAGGAAACAUCCUCUCCACUCCCACCCUAUCUAGUCAUUUCAAUAUUCGGUAGGUUUCAAAGAGGUCCCAAUGUAUUGUACUCACUGGAAUUUUUCUAAAUUCCAGUGAGUACAAACCCAAAGCUGUCAAAUGCUGCUUUUAUGUUAACCCCUUCAUUUCCAGAGUCAUCCUCAUGAACCUCAUCUGGACUAUAUCCAAUGACAACACAUACUUUCUGAGAUAUGGUGUGCAGAACCAAUGGCAGUACUUAUGUGCAGCUUGAUCUCUGUCUAUUAAAGCCUCAGCAUUGUCUCCUUGCUUUUUUAUUCCAUCUCCCUUGAAAUAAAUGCCAACAUUGCAUUUGCCUUAUUUACCACACUCAAACCUGUGAAUUAGCUUUUUGGGAGUCUUGCAUGAGGACUUCUAGUCCCUCUGCACCUCUGAUGUUUGAACCUCCUCCCCAUUUAGAUAAUCUGCACUAUUGUUCCUUUUACCAAAUUGCAUUAUCGUACAUUACCCAACACUAUUCCAUCUGCCACUUUUUGCCCAUUUUUCCAAUUUGGCCAGGUCCUGCAAAUGUAUUGCCUCCUCAGCACGAUCUACAUCUCUACCUAUCUUCAUAUCAUUGGCAAAUUUUUGCCACAAAGCCAUUAAUUCCAUUAUCUAAAUUAUUGACAAACAAUGAAAAGCAGUGGUCCCAAUACUGAGCCGUGAGGAAAAUCACUAGUGACAGGCAGCCAGUCAGGAAAUUUGUGAAGGAUAAUUUUUCUGAAGUUGAGUAAAGCGCUUUAAUUUUUUUUUAAUUGAUCAUUGGGCAGGAUAGAUAUUUGUACUUAGAACUUGCCUUAGUGUUAAAGGAAAAAGGUUUAUUUUCCAAAAGUUCAAAUGUGGUAUGGAUGUGAAAUGACAUGCAGAAAGCCUUGUGUGAGAUUUAAGAUGGAUUAUUUAAUGGCAUUUCCCAUAGACAAGUGUAAAAGAGAACAAAAUAGUUAUUCUGGACCUGUUGCAGCACAGAAAACAAUAAGAUAACACAAUGUAUAUGGAUUAUGUGUUCAUAAGUUACGCCAGUCACAAUUGUACAUAAGGUGACUGACAAAUUGAGAAAGUGGUGCUUGGGGGUGUGGAAGGCUGGGUUAGGUACGUAGGAUCCUUCACCAUGUUUCUGGCACCUUGAUGGUAGUGGGCUUGUGCCGGUAAUGCCUUGGGCAGUUUUGACUUCCUGUCCACCACAUGUUAGGGUGCUCUCUACUUUGCAUCUGUAGAAUCAUGUCAAUAUGGAUGACAUUGUCCAGCUCAGCUCUCUUCAGCCUCCUCAGAAAGAAGUGGUGUUGGUGAACUUUACUGAUUGUGUAUAAUGUGUUCUGGGACCAAGAGAGGAUGUGAGAUGUGCAAUCCCAUUGCUGUGCCACCAAUGUAAAUCAGGUACGAGUGGUGCAACUUCUCCCAAAAUUAAUAGCCAUCUCCUUUGUUAGGCUAUCACCAGGUCUCAAGCUCUUCCACCUCAUCUCUAUAGGCAAUUUUGUUGUUGAUGAGUCCCAGCAUUGUUGUGCACUGGUGAACUUGAAGAUUGUGAUUACUUGGGUGUUUGGUCAUGUAGUCAAUGUAUGAGCAGAUUCAGACAAUGGACUCAGCACACAGUUCUGUGGGACAUGUGAAAGAUGUCAGUAAGUACUUGUCCUGGGAUGUUGUCUUGCCCAGCUGUCUUGAUUUUUUGGCUGGCAUUGUGUUGGAUGCCUCAAAGUUUGCAGAAACGUUCAUCAGGGAGGAAGAGAUGUCUGUGGUUUAGUUGAUGCUGUUUUUCCUUGCAUAGUCAGUAGUAUCCUUGACCCAGUCAUGUAUGUCAGGGAUUAUUAUUGUGUGUAGGCAGUCUUUGCUGUAUUGAUGUCAAAGGUGAGGUUUCUUCUGGCCAUUCUGAGGGAUUGAAGAUGGCAUCCCAGGCUUUUCGUAGGGACUGCACCUCUGUUCAGCCAGGGCUUCUGGUUGGGCUGUUCUUGAGGUACAAUGUCUACACAUUUACUGAUGUAGCUGGUGUCAGAUGAGGUAUAUCCCUCAAGGUUUGUGUCUCCUGUUUGUGCCUCCUUGAACAUCUGCUGGUUCAAAGCAGUCCUGAAGCAUACAAAUUGUUUCAUUAGGCCAUAUAGUGAUAGUCGUUUUCAUUCUUCAUUUUCAGCAGCAAGGUGUGUUGUAAUUAACAUUAUGGAACUGUCAUCAGAAAGGCCAAGAUGAGGGUGUAGGAUGGCUUUGUAAUUACCACAUCUGUUUGUAUAAACAUGGUUCAGUCCAUUUGUUCUCCAAGUGGCCUUGGUGACAUGGUAGAAUUUGGGUAAAAUGUCCUGCGGGUUAAUUGGAGUCUGCUGCAAUGACUGCCCAGAUGCUUGCUUUUGUAGAGAGCUGAUGAUUCUGUAAAGCUUAUUGGUGGGGGGGGGGUGCGGGGGGAGAUGAUGUAGUAAUUUCCCUGGGUAGGUAAUGUUGCUGGCAUUUGCAGUGCCUUGCACAAGUUUUUAGCCCCCAACUCUUGAUUCACUUAAGUACUAAUACCAGGGAUUUUGAUCAAUUUAUCUGACAAUUUUUAUUUGUGAAUCACAUGCUCUUUUUUUCCAUAGUAGAUGACAAAAGAACAGGUAGAAUUGUAAAGCAUGAAAAAUCAAAAUAUUCUGUAAAGUAAUCAUGCUUUCAAAAUAAACUUAAUUUCUAAAAAUUUACUAUAAAGAGCAGCAAACAAUAAAAAUCUGAAACAAAUCAAUAUUUGUGUGACU